CAUGCACUGCGGCACAUUUCCUGUGUCGGUGACGUCAGUAACACGGUGAACGCCGGUCCAUGCUGGCUUGUCUUAGCACGUGGUGGGGUUAUCCCUCGUGUUACUUAGCACAUGCAGCAGCAGCGCGGAUGGGGAGCAGCAGAUUGCUGCACCCCAUAAAGAAAUGCCACCAAUGUGGCUUUUACAGGGAUUCCUGCUCCCACCAUUGAUGUCUCGCAGAACAAUCACAGUUUACAGCAGUUUGAGCCACAUCAUGAGAGACCAACCAUGGGACUCUGCUGUAUGAAGAUGCGGUCCUUGCCCUCUGUUUCUGAGAGCUUCGGUAAGCUCCAAGGAUUCCAGAUACUGCCACCAGAUGGCUGACAAGCUUAGAGGAAACAGGCGGCUGUAGCAGUUUGGAAUUAUAGGAGGAGAUUAAAUAUAACAUGGAAAGAGAAGGUUGACUGCUUGUACACUGCGUUCUGCUUAUAUGGCUGGUUGUGUUGUUUCUUACUUGGGGAGAUAAGAUUCACAUGGGACAUUGCCAUUAUAUAAAACUGUGCCCACUGAAAUUGGAAACCGUGCUUUUGUCAGAGAUCAUGGCCCAAAUGUGAAAUGUGAGAGGGGCAUGGAGUCCCAUAAAGAAUGCAUGUGAUUGUGCCGCAAUCUACACUUACAAAAGGAAACAUAUACACUGACCAAUUUUUUUUAUUUUAUUUUUUUCCUUCAGUUUUUUUACCAGUUACUAAAUUUAAAGGUGAGAUUUCUUUAAGUACUUUUUGUAAUGCUUACAAAGGUAUGCUUGCAUAACCUUACAUGAUGUCUACGCAAGAGUCUUUGUUGCAGUGUUUUGUUUAUUUGCUUGGUGUAUUUGCUACCAGUUUACUUAAUUCCCCUUAUCUCUGGUAAUGCCUUGUUUAGUAAAUAAAAUUUAAUAAAGCAGAAUUUAUUAA
This is a long non-coding RNA of Pseudophryne corroboree (corroboree frog), 932 nucleotides long. RefSeq lists it as uncharacterized. The transcript is spliced from 6 exons. NCBI's taxonomy places the organism in Eukaryota, Metazoa, Chordata, Amphibia, Anura, Myobatrachidae. The record is from RefSeq and is a predicted model, not a curated record.